UACGAAGGGGGCUAGCGUUGUUCGGAAUUACUGGGCGUAAAGCGUGCGCAGGCGGCUUCUCAAGUCAGGGGUGAAAGCCCAGAGCUUAACUCUGGAAUUGCCUUUGAGACUGAGAGGCUUGAGUACGGAAGAGGCGAGUGGAAUUCCUGGUGUAGCGGUGGAAUGCGCAGAUAUCAGGAGGAACACCGGUGGCGAAGGCGGUUCUCUGGGCCUUACCUGACGCUGAGGAGCGAAAGCGUGGGGAGCAAACAGG
RNAcentral lists this ribosomal RNA (253 nucleotides) under uncultured bacterium. RNAcentral's name for it is "partial 16S ribosomal RNA". It matches the Rfam family "Bacterial small subunit ribosomal RNA", at positions 524 to 776 of the family's 1533-position model. The record is from RNAcentral.